This 1306-nucleotide ribosomal RNA is filed under the name Caballeronia zhejiangensis. RNAcentral describes it as "bacterial LSU rRNA". It matches the Rfam family "Bacterial large subunit ribosomal RNA", at positions 1163 to 2455 of the family's 2925-position model. Lineage: Bacteria; Pseudomonadati; Pseudomonadota; Betaproteobacteria; Burkholderiales; Burkholderiaceae. The record is from RNAcentral.
GCGGAAGAUGUAACGGGGCUCAAACCAUACACCGAAGCUACGGGUAUCACGUAAGUGAUGCGGUAGAGGAGCGUUCUGUAAGCCUGUGAAGGUGAGUUGAGAAGCUUGCUGGAGGUAUCAGAAGUGCGAAUGCUGACAUGAGUAACGACAAUGGGUGUGAAAAACACCCACGCCGAAAGACCAAGGUUUCCUGCGCAACGUUAAUCGACGCAGGGUUAGUCGGUCCCUAAGGCGAGGCUGAAAAGCGUAGUCGAUGGAAAACAGGUUAAUAUUCCUGUACUUCUGGUUAUUGCGAUGGAGGGACGGAGAAGGCUAGGCCAGCUUGGCGUUGGUUGUCCAAGUUUAAGGUGGUAGGCUGAGAUCUUAGGUAAAUCCGGGAUCUUAAGGCCGAGAGCUGAUGACGAGUUGUCUUUUAGAUGACGAAGUGGUUGAUGCCAUGCUUCCAAGAAAAGCUUCUAAGCUUCAGGUAACCAGGAACCGUACCCCAAACCGACACAGGUGGUUGGGUAGAGAAUACCAAGGCGCUUGAGAGAACUCGGGUGAAGGAACUAGGCAAAAUGGCACCGUAACUUCGGGAGAAGGUGCGCCGGUGAGGGUGAAGGACUUGCUCCGUAAGCCCAUGCCGGUCGAAGAUACCAGGCCGCUGCGACUGUUUAUUAAAAACACAGCACUCUGCAAACACGAAAGUGGACGUAUAGGGUGUGACGCCUGCCCGGUGCCGGAAGGUUAAUUGAUGGGGUUAGCUAACGCGAAGCUCUUGAUCGAAGCCCCGGUAAACGGCGGCCGUAACUAUAACGGUCCUAAGGUAGCGAAAUUCCUUGUCGGGUAAGUUCCGACCUGCACGAAUGGCGUAAUGAUGGCCAGGCUGUCUCCACCCGAGACUCAGUGAAAUUGAACUCGCUGUGAAGAUGCAGUGUACCCGCGGCAAGACGGAAAGACCCCGUGAACCUUUACUAUAGCUUUGACACUGAACAUUGAGCCUUGAUGUGUAGGAUAGGUGGGAGGCUUUGAAGCGUGGACGCCAGUCUGCGUGGAGCCAUCCUUGAAAUACCACCCUUUAAUGUUUGAUGUUCUAACUCGGCCCCGUAAUCCGGGGUGAGGACAGUGUCUGGUGGGUAGUUUGACUGGGGCGGUCUCCUCCCAAAGAGUAACGGAGGAGCACGAAGGUUAGCUAAUCACGGUCGGACAUCGUGAGGUUAGUGCAAAGGCAUAAGCUAGCUUGACUGCGAGAGUGACGGCUCGAGCAGGUACGAAAGUAGGUCUUAGUGAUCCGGUGGUUCUGUAUGGAAGGGCCAUCGCUCAACGG